UACGAAGGGGGCUAGCGUUGCUCGGAAUCACUGGGCGUAAAGGGUGCGUAGGCGGGUCUUUAAGUCAGGGGUGAAAUCCUGGAGCUCAACUCCAGAACUGCCUUUGAUACUGAGAAGCUUGAGUCCGGGAGAGGUGAGUGGAACUGCGAGUGUAGAGGUGAAAUUCGUAGAUAUUCGCAAGAACACCAGUGGCGAAGGCGGCUCACUGGCCCGAUACUGACGCUGAGGUGCGAAAGCGUGGGGAGCAAACAGG
RNAcentral lists this ribosomal RNA (253 nucleotides) under uncultured bacterium. RNAcentral's name for it is "partial 16S ribosomal RNA". It matches the Rfam family "Bacterial small subunit ribosomal RNA", at positions 524 to 776 of the family's 1533-position model. The record is from RNAcentral.